GUACAUUUUUUAAUAAGGUUUUCAAGACAAUCCAAUGGGGGAAGAAAUAUUCUUUUCAACAAAUGAUGGUGGAACAAUUGUAUAUCUAUACUGCAAAAGGAAUAGAGAGUGACUGCUAAUGGAUAUAGAUUUAUUAUGGGGGUGAUGAAAAUGUUCUAAAAUGAGAUAGUGGUAUUAGUUGCAUAACUUUGUGAAUAUGCUAAAAUCCACAGAAUUAUAUCCUUUAAAAGGGUGGAUUUUAUGGUAUGUGAAAUAUCCUAUAUAAUAAAAUGCUAAUAUGCAAAUUGUCCCCUCGACCAGGAGUUCAACCAGGGGUUGGGACCAGCAGGCCAACUGCCUGCAGCCCUGAUUGGGCAGGCUGGCCGGACCCCAUGCACAAAUUCAUGUACUGGGCCUCUAGUAUCUCAAUAAAAAUAUUAAAAAAUUGAGUCUUCCAAAACUGAACAUCCUAUGAUUUAUUUAACUUCCACAAUUCUGCAAUUUAUGCCAUUCAAGAAAUUCCUGCAUCUGUGUGCAAUAAUUUAAAAUAAAAAUGGAUGCCGGAAAGAAAGCAAGCAAAAAAAAUAAAAAAAAUAAAAAUGAAGAAGUGGAAAUAACUAAAAGAACCAAUACACGGAUAAAAGGAACUAAGGAGUAGACAUGAGAAAAAAGGGAUUCGCCAGCACACAAUCCCUAGAUGGUUUUUCCCCUACAUAUUCUUAUCAAUGUAUAACUGUGUUCAUUCUUCUUAACACUCAAGUUACUAAAAAUCAAGGUAUGAUAUUUUACUAUAAAAUGCUUGAUAAAGUAAUUGUACUUUAUUUAAAUAAAACUUUAAAUAUUAUUUAAAUAUAAUAUUAAUAGGGAAAAGGGGGUUCCUGUACAAGGAGGCGGACAAGGUUUAUGGGUAGUAUGAACAAGCUCUAAGAAGCUGGAGCGAGUGGGCUGAGAGGGCAGAAAUGCCUCCAACAAUUAAAAAGCCUUUGUAGGCAUAUUUGGAACAAGAAAAAGAAUCAGGAAGCCGUAGGCCCACUGCUUUCCCCGCUUAACUGAGAAGGACUAGGAGCCCCACUAAAACAUGGUGAGCUUGGGACUCUUGCUGUAACAUCAACAGAAAGCAGAACUACUCAGCUAUUAUUUCGCUUCCUCCUUUUCCUCUGAAAAUGAUCCAGAGAUGGUAGAGGGGGCCCAGCCAUAAUUGAGAGGGCGUUCAAACCCUGGGAAUGAGGUGCUUUCAAGGGCCUGCACAGGCAAGGCCCAGUAAGUACUUGAGUGGAUGGAUGGAUGGAUGGGAGGAUGGUAUAGGAAAAACAUGUACUUGUGCUCAAAGGUCUAUGGUUGGUGUUUUUUAAGAAAAUGUGAAGAAUAUGAAAAGUAUCAGAAAAUUGGAAGCAGCCAGAUGUCCCAGUUUUCAAAAAAGGAGAGAAACAGGUUGUGUUCAAGAACAAAGCUCUACGUCAUUCCUUUGAUAAGCUCUAGACUCCAUUAUUAAAGAGAAGAGAGGUGAAGGCACUCACAGGAGGUAGCUUGAUUCACCCUUUUAAAAAGGUCCCAUUAGAGCCCUGGCUGAGUACUCAGUUGAAAAACACUGGAUUAGAACAUGGUCCCAUAUAACACGGUUGCUGAUUCAAUCCCCUGUCAGGGUACAUACAAGAAUCAACCAGUGAAUGCAUAGAUAUGUGGAAGCAAAUCACUGUUUCUCUUUCCCUUCCUCUCUCUCUAAUUAAAAAAAUAAUAAUCCCAUUUGAAAAACACAAGAGCUAAUUUGGUGGUUCUCACCCUCAUCCAGGCACUGGAGCCCCUGAAAAUCAUAGCCAGAUACCAUGCCACCAUGCCCUCUCCAGAUCUCUCUGAGAUAUAGACAUUUUAUUUUUUACAGAAGAAUAAGACUAUACUUACAACAUAUAAGAUCACACCUAUACAACCUACUGUUCAUUCAUUCAAAUAAUAUUGAUUUUGGGAAUGGGCCUGGCUAAUCACAGAGCUUAGCGUUUCAUGGGGAAUAUGGAAAAGAAUCUACAAGCCAUUAGGGCUCAGGAUGUGCCCCUAAAAGCACAGGGUGAGAUGGAGAUUAGAAAAUCCUCCCCGAGGAUACAGCCUAAAAGCCAAGCCUGGGAAUUAGCUGCCCUAAGGAGACCAGGAGGUGAGGGCAAGAAGGUGUCAAAGGUGAGGCCCAGGUUUCUUGGGUAACAGGAGCUAUCCACCGAGAUGGGGACCUAAGAGGAGGAAGAGUGGGGCAUAAUUAGGAGCUUAGAUUUAAACCCAGGUUUAAGUGGGCACAGGUAUAGAGUCCGCGAGGGGUCAGACAUAUGGAUCUGGAGUGAGAGAAAAGAGCUUGUGGAGACACUUGGAAAAAGUCAGUGAAGAGGUGGUCGUAUCAGGGGAAGAUGUGGCUCGGAGCCAUCUUAGGGCUCUAAUGGUUGCAAGUUGACAGGCAUUUAUUACAAAAGGCUUAAGUAAAAAAUAUAUAUAUAUACAGAUUUUCUCAUGAAACUGGUAAGACCAGGUGUACUGGCUCCAGACCUGGCCUAGGGCACAAUCAGCUGAGGACUCCGCUUUGCUGCCUCCCGCAUGCUGACUUCCUUUUCAGUCCGUUUCCCCUCAUGGAGAGGGCAGGUGGCUGUCUCCAAUUCCAGACUCAUAUUCCGUCAGCUCAGAUGAGCAUCUCUUCCCCCACAGUUUAGCAGAAAUCUCAUGUUUGAGUUUCAGUCGUUCAACUUUGGCCAAAUGCCCAUCCCUGAGCCACUCCCUAGGGCCCGGGGGAAUGAAAUAACCCUUGCCUGAGUUGUCAACCCCAAACUAUGUGGACUCGGAGUGGGGUGAGGUGCCUCCUCAGGGUGUUGGAAAUGGAUACUGGACAGGUGAAACAGCAGGGAAAGAGAGGAGAGGGGUGGUCAGCAAAGUCAGCUCGUCCGGGAAAGGAUGAAAAUAGAAGCAGUGGAUUAGCCGGCGUGAAUCAGGGUGACCUUCGCAAGAGCCAUGUCAGUAAGUGGUGGUGAUAGAACCCAGGUGGUGAUGGGUCGAGGAAUGAGUGGGAGGUGAGACAUCAAAUAUAGAAAACUCUCAGCAGUUGGGCACAAAGGGGAGGAACCGUGCCCUGGUCACAGGCAUUCCAGAGCUUUGGUUCAAGAUGAACAGGAGUUCGUGUUGAUGGAAGGAGGCCGUCGAGGGGCAGCAGCUGGUGUUUCAGACGCCCAAGGAGAGUCAUCGGCUCUCCCUGUCUCUCCCUCCCCUCCACUCUCUCUAAA
This is a long non-coding RNA of Pipistrellus kuhlii (Kuhl's pipistrelle), 3227 nucleotides long. RefSeq lists it as uncharacterized. The record is from RefSeq and is a predicted model, not a curated record. Lineage: Eukaryota; Metazoa; Chordata; Mammalia; Chiroptera; Vespertilionidae. The transcript is spliced from 2 exons.